RNAcentral lists this transfer RNA (66 nucleotides) under Dryodurgades formosana. Its description in RNAcentral is "tRNA-Ser". The record is from RNAcentral. Lineage: Eukaryota; Metazoa; Arthropoda; Insecta; Hemiptera; Cicadellidae.
AAGAGGAAAGUAUUAAAAAUAGCUUCUAACUAAUUUUUAAAGCGGUUAAACUCCGUUUACCUCUUA